GACGAACGCUGGGCGGCGUGCUUAAAACAUGCAAGUCGAACGGACUUCUCAUGAAGCUUGCAAUUGAGAAGUUAGUGGCGGACGGGUGAGUAACGCGUGGGCAACCUGCCCCUGAGCCCGGGAUAACAGUUCGAAAGGACUGCUAAGACCGGAUAUACUUGCGGGGAAGCAUUUCUCUGUAAGGAAAGGGAACGCUCAGGGAUGGGCCUGCGUCCCAUUAGCUAGUUGGUGAGGUAACGGCCCACCAAGGCGACGAUGGGUAGCCGGCCUGAGAGGGUGAACGGCCACACUGGGACUGAGACACGGCCCAGACUCCUACGGGAGGCAGCAGUUGGGAAUCUUCGGCAAUGGGCGCAAGCCUGACCGAGCAACGCCGCGUGAGUGAUGAAGGUUUUCGGAUUGUAAAGCUCUGUCUUCCGGGACGAUAAUGACGGUACCGGAGGAGGAAGCCACGGCUAACUACGUG
Molecule: ribosomal RNA, 466 nt
Filed under: uncultured bacterium
Lineage: Bacteria
Description: bacterial SSU rRNA
Rfam family: Bacterial small subunit ribosomal RNA
Source: RNAcentral